CAGCAGACGACUCCGAUCCAGAUCCGUUUUCAAACCGGCAAAUCCGCGUUACAGUCACAUCCGUUACAGGGCUGUAACACGGAUCCAGCCCAGGUGCGGUUUCAGUGGGCGGGAAUUACAGUCGCAGAGCGGAUCCGGGCCGCGUCCGUGGAAACGAGGGCGCGUUUUUUUUUCCGAAGUUCAGAACAGGAGAAGAUGUCAAGACGGUCGAGGAAAAUACAGACUGCUCGCUGUUAUCCUCAAAAACCUCACCAAGAUGUGUCAGACUGUAUUGUUGGCGAACACUAAGGCCUAUGUUAUCAGAAGACUUGCUAACAUGAAGAAAACGUCCAGAGGAAAUUACCGAUCGUUUUGCUAGAUAAGACCCUUCUUACUCGUCUGGGAUCAUGUUUUGAAGAUGCAAUUUGGACCCCACUGAAGUCCACAAUAAAGAGAGAAACCCUGGAAUGUUUUCCUCAAAACCCUUCAUUUCUUUUUGACUGA
Long non-coding RNA from Carassius gibelio (silver crucian carp), 483 nucleotides. RefSeq lists it as uncharacterized. The transcript has 3 exons. The record is from RefSeq and is a predicted model, not a curated record. NCBI's taxonomy places the organism in Eukaryota, Metazoa, Chordata, Actinopteri, Cypriniformes, Cyprinidae.